RNAcentral lists this ribosomal RNA (352 nucleotides) under Eukaryota sp. RNAcentral's name for it is "SSU rRNA". It matches the Rfam family "Eukaryotic small subunit ribosomal RNA", at positions 1324 to 1699 of the family's 1831-position model. The record is from RNAcentral.
UACGUUAACGAACGAGACCUUAACCUGCUAAAUAGCCAGGUCGGCUUCUGCUGAUCGCCGGCUUCUUAGAGGGACUGUCAGCGUCUAGCUGACGGAAGUUUGAGGCAAUAACAGGUCUGUGAUGCCCUUAGAUGUUCUGGGCCGCACGCGCGCUACACUGACGGAGCCAGCGAGUACUUCCUUGUCCGAAAGGUCCGGGUAAUCUUGUUAAACUCCGUCGUGCUGGGGAUAGGGCAUUGCAAUUAUUGCUCUUCAACGAGGAAUCCCUAGUAAGCGCAAGUCAUCAGCUUGCGUUGAUUACGCCCCUGCCCUUUGUACACACCGCCCGUCGCUAAUACCGAUUGAAUGGAUA